UGCGUAGGCGGUUUGGUAAGUCUUCUGUGAAAUCUAUGGGCUCAACUCAUAGACUGCAUGAGAAACUGCCGGGCUGGAGUGUGGGAGAGGUGAGUGGAAUUCCUGGUGUAGCGGUGAAAUGCGUAGAUAUCAGGAGGAACACCUGUGGCGAAAGCGGCUCACUGGACCAUAACUGACGCUGAUGCACGAAAGCUAGGGGAGCAAACAGGAUUAGAUACCCUGGUAGUCCUAGCCCUAAACCAUGAUUGCUUGGUGUGACGGGUACCCAAUCCCGCCGUGCCGUAGCUAACGCGUUAAGCAAUCCGCCGUGGGGAGUACGGUCGCAAGGCUGAA
Molecule: ribosomal RNA, 333 nt
Filed under: uncultured bacterium
Lineage: Bacteria
Description: bacterial SSU rRNA
Rfam family: Bacterial small subunit ribosomal RNA
Source: RNAcentral